This 253-nucleotide ribosomal RNA is filed under the name uncultured bacterium. RNAcentral describes it as "partial 16S ribosomal RNA". It matches the Rfam family "Bacterial small subunit ribosomal RNA", at positions 524 to 776 of the family's 1533-position model. The record is from RNAcentral.
UACAGAGGGUGCAAGCGUUAAUCGGAAUUACUGGGCGUAAAGCGUGCGUAGACGGUUAUGUAAGUCGGGUGUGAAAGCCCCGGGCUCAACCUGGGAAUGCCAUUCGAGACUGCAUAGCUAGGGUGCGGAAGAGGGAAGCGGAAUUUCCGGUGUAGCGGUGAAAUGCGUAGAUAUCGGAAGGAACACCAGUGGCGCAGGCGGGUCUCUGGGCAUCUCCUGACGCUGAGGCGCGAAAGCGUGGGGAGCAAACGGG